This is a long non-coding RNA of Capsicum annuum, 1559 nucleotides long. RefSeq lists it as uncharacterized. The record is from RefSeq and is a predicted model, not a curated record. The transcript is spliced from 4 exons. NCBI's taxonomy places the organism in Eukaryota, Viridiplantae, Streptophyta, Magnoliopsida, Solanales, Solanaceae.
AUGGAUAAGGACCAUAGUUUUUGUGAAUUGUGUAUGUGUAUAUGCCAAAAAAAUGGAGUAUGGUCUUUGUAUGUAAAAAAAAAAAAAAAAAGGUUCCUUGGCAUCUUCCAGGAAGGUUCCUUCGUGGGACCCCUUUUCAUUUCAAAGGAUGUUUUUCUUCUCUUUUUUUUAUUUGUGAACAAGUAAUAGGAGGGGGUCACGUGGGUAGACAGGGUGGUGAUGAUUAGAAUAAUGUGACGUGACUUUAUUUUAUUGGAGGGGUUGUUAGGAGGUUUUAAAAGAAGAUAAAUUUGGUUAUCUUUUUGUUAUUUGGAUAAAGACCCAUAAAUAAAUAAAUAAAUAAAUAAGUGAAAGAUGAGGUGAUUAUUUAUUUGUUUUACUUGUGGAAAAAUUAUAAAAAUGGGGGUUAAAUUGUGUGAUAAUGUAAUAAGAAAUAUUUUGACGGGAUAAAAUUACUUGUCUACAACGAUUUUUUCGUAUAAGGUUGACCCACCUAAUUAAUAAAUCUUCAAUAUUGCUCUUUUUCCGCAAUGACAAAAAAAUUCGAUGUCAUUUUUAUCUUUGAGCUAAAAAUAAUGAAAAAAUAAUAGUGAAAAGUCAUUUAAAUGUCAUAUUUGUGCAGUUUUGAAUAGUUAAAAGUCAUAUUUGUGCACUGUCAAAGUUUAAGGUCAAAGUUAUAAUUUGGUGUCAAGUUAGGGUCAUAUUUAUUUAUUAUGCCCUUAGAUUAUAAGCUGGACGCGCACAGUUUUGCGUGUUGAACACGCGUUUUGUCACGUAGGAUCGGAGGUCAUAUUUGUGCAGUUUUAAAUAGUUAAAGGUCAUAUUUGUGCACUGUCAAAGUUUAAGAUCAAAGUUAUAAUUGGAUAUCAAGUUUAGAAUAAUAUUUAUAUAUUAUGCCAAAAUUACAGGCGUGAUAUCACAAAGGCCGAUCAACCAGAAAUUUCAAUUAUGCCAAGUAAGUUAAUGAAGAAAUCCAAAGAAGUCAAAUUGGACAAUAUUAUGGAUGGGUCACUUCCCGAAACACAGGAAUCAGUUCACAAGUUCAAAGCAACGAUUGUAGAGAUUCUCAAUAAAGAUAAGUUGUGAUUUUCUUCUUGCAAAAAAUACCGCAAGACAGUUGAAGUCAUAGAAGAUACCGCAAAUUGCAGUAAUUGUAGCAUCGAAAAUGUUGAUUAUGAAAUGAGAUACUCCUUAAGGCUAGAAGUUUCUGAUGGAGAAUGACGCGCACGAGUUAUACUAUUUGAAGCAGCAAAACUUUUCUUUAGUUACAACGUCAAAGAGUACAUCGAUUCAACCUCUGUAAAGGAUCAAUAUGAAUAACUCAAACCCAAGAAGAAGUCUAAUUAUUCAAGAGAUAGAAGAAAUUCAAGAUGCCGGACCAAUAGUUGUGGAGGAAGAAGUUAAAUCAACAAGGAUGCGUGGGAAGAGAGGAAAAAAAAGCAACUAUCAAUAAUAAAAAAAUAAAAUUGGAAAAAAUAUAAUUUACCGAAUUCAUAGCAUAUGUAUUAUGUAUGUUAAGUGUGAAUUCAGAUUAUUUGUGAAUCGUUUCUAUUACAACA